AUAGCUCUAGGCGGUGGAUCACUCGGCUCGCGAGUCGAUGAAGAGCGCAGCUAGCUGCGUUAAGUAAUGUGAAUUGCAGGACACAUUGAACAUCGAACUCUUGAACGCAUAUUGCGGUCCCGGGUCAAUCCCGGGACCACGCCCGUCUCAGGGUCGUAUG
RNAcentral lists this ribosomal RNA (160 nucleotides) under Proceraea cornuta. RNAcentral's name for it is "5.8S ribosomal RNA". It matches the Rfam family "5.8S ribosomal RNA". From Rfam's summary of the family: 5.8S ribosomal RNA (5.8S rRNA) is a component of the large subunit of the eukaryotic ribosome. It is transcribed by RNA polymerase I as part of the 45S precursor that also contains 18S and 28S rRNA. Lineage: Eukaryota; Metazoa; Annelida; Polychaeta; Phyllodocida; Syllidae. The record is from RNAcentral.